AUGUCCCUAGCAAAGGUGGGGUGCUCUGUCACUCUGAACAGCUCCAGCUCUUUCAGGUUUGGGAAUCCCCCUGCUGUGGACAGGCCUGGGGUGUCCCUACCAGAGGUGGGGUGCUCUGUCACUCUGAACAGCUCCAGCUCUUUCAGGUUUGGGAAUCCCCCUGCUGUGGACAGGCCUGGGGUGUCCCUAGCAAAGAUGGGGUGCUCUGUCACUCUGAACAGCUCCAGCUCUUUCAUGUUUGGGAAUCCCCCUGCUGUGGACAGGCCUGGGGUGUCCCUAGCAAAGGUGGGGUGCUCUGUCACUCUGAACAGCUCCAGCUCUUUCAGGUUUGGGAAUCCCCCUGCUGUGGACAGGCCUGGGAUGUCCCUAGCAAAGGUGGGGUGCUCUGUCACUCUGAACAGCUCCAGCUCUUUCAGGUUUGGGAAUCCCCCUGCUGUGGACAGGCCUGGGAUGUCCCUAGCAAAGGUGGGGUGCUCUGUCACUCUGAACAGCUCCAGCUCUUUCAGGUUUGGGAAUCCCUUUGCUGUGGACAGGCCUGGGAUGUCCCUAGCAAAGGUGGGGUGCUCUGUCACUCUAAACAGCUCCAGCUCUCUCAGGUUUGGGAAUCCCCCUGCUGUGGACAGGCCUGGGGUGUCCCUAGCAAAGGUGGGGUGCUCUGUCACUCUGAACAGCUCCAGCUCUUUCAGGUUUGGGAAUCCCCCUGCUGUGGACAGGCCUGGGGUGUCCCUAGCAAAGGUGGGGUGCUCUGUCACUCUGAACAGCUCCAGCUCUUUCAGGUUUGGGAAUCCCCCUGCUGUGGACAGGCCUGGGGUGUCCCUAGCAAAGGUGGGGUGCUCUGGGCCUGCUGCUUUCACAGUUACUAUUUCACCAGUCGUGAUCUCAGAGGCAGGGUUUGUGGUCAGGCUGGAGGCUCAGGUUGUGCUUUGGGGCUUGGACCUGCCAGAGGCCUCUGUGGUUCAUUGGCAUCUGGGGGAUUAUGACAAGCCUCUGUCUCCACCUUUGGGUGACUUUGGGGCUGGCGCCUGA
RNAcentral lists this long non-coding RNA (1026 nucleotides) under Callithrix jacchus (white-tufted-ear marmoset). RNAcentral describes it as "lncRNA (ENSCJAG00000080037.1)". Lineage: Eukaryota; Metazoa; Chordata; Mammalia; Primates; Cebidae. The record is from RNAcentral.